RNAcentral lists this ribosomal RNA (513 nucleotides) under uncultured bacterium. RNAcentral describes it as "partial 16S ribosomal RNA". It matches the Rfam family "Bacterial small subunit ribosomal RNA", at positions 28 to 523 of the family's 1533-position model. The record is from RNAcentral.
GACGAACGCUGGCGGCGUGCCUAAUACAUGCAAGUUGAGCGCUGAAGGUUGGUACUUGUACCGACUGGAUGAGCAGCGAACGGGUGAGUAACGCGUGGGGAAUCUGCCUUUGAGCGGGGGACAACAUUUGGAAACGAAUGCUAAUACCGCAUAACAACUUUAAACACAAGUUUUAAGUUUGAAAGAUGCAAUUGCAUCACUCAAAGAUGAUCCCGCGUUGUAUUAGCUAGAUGGUGAGGUAAAGGCUCACCAAGGCGAUGAUACAUAGCCGACAUGAGAGGGUGAUCGGCCACAAUGGGACUGAGACACGGCCCAAACGCCUACGGGAGGCAGCAGUAGGGAAUCUUCGGCAAUGGAGGAAAGUCUAACCGAGCAACGCCGCGUGAGUGAAGAAGGUUUUCGGAUCGUAAAACUCUGUUGGUAGAGAAGAACGUUGGUGAGAGUGGAAAGCUCAUCAAGUGACGGUAACUACCCAGAAAGGGACGGCUAACUACGUGCCAGCCGCCGCGGUAA